This 386-nucleotide small RNA is filed under the name Pongo abelii (Sumatran orangutan). RNAcentral describes it as "retained intron". The record is from RNAcentral. Lineage: Eukaryota; Metazoa; Chordata; Mammalia; Primates; Hominidae.
AGAGACUAGGCAUUGAAAAGACUGACCCUACAACACUGACAGAUGAAGAGAUAAACAGAUUUGCAAGAUUGGACAUUGAUCCAGAAACCAUAACUUGGCAAAGAGUGUUGGAUACCAAUGAUAGAUUCCUGAGGAAGAUCACGAUUGGACAGGCUCCAACGGAGAAGGGUCACACACGGACGGUAACAAUUUGUCCCUUUCCAAGGAAAUUAGUUCAGAGGCACUAGAUCUUGCUGCUUCUCUCCUCCUCCAUCCUCUCUCAUACGAUUGAUACUGCCAGGUGUUGUUCUGCCUUCUCCCUUUUAAAAUGGAAGUGAGUAGGUGUGUGGCAUUGAGCACUCCUGACAGCUUUUGCAAUAAAUCCCAUGUGUCACCUGUGUGUUUUU